AUGUCUCCCCUCGAGAGCUACCGCAUCAUCGACUGUCGCCACGGGCUCGUCCUUUUCCUCGCCCACAGGAUGAUGCGCCGCUUAGUUUUGUGGGACCCCGUCGCGCGCGAGCAGCGCCGGCUGUUCUUCCCGCCGGAGCUGGACAACGCCCAGAUGUUCUUCUUCAACGGGGCGGUGCGUCGCCCUGCCCGCCGCCAAGGAUGGCAUUUCCAGGUGGCCCUGAUAGCCCGUGACGCAUUAUGCACAAGAGUUUCGGUGUGGCUUUACUCAUCAGAGACCGCAGUAUGGGGCAACAUCAACUCACUGCAGCUGCAAUCGAUUCAGUCUAUGCCACAACCCAGCACUUUGGUUGGGAAUUCCUUUUGCUGGUUAUUUACCGUGGAUCAUGGCUGUGUCAUACUUGAGUUUGAUCUUGAUAGGCAGAGCCUAGCUGUGACAGAGCUGCCACCACACAUAGAUAUGGAAAUCGACUUUCACAAGUUAUGGAUUAUGCCCUCCCAGGGUGGUGGGCUUGGCUUCAUCCAUCUCUCACAACACUUCCACGCCCAAUUAUGGAAGAGAGUGCCUGAUUCUGAUGGUUUGGCUGUAUGGGUGCCCGACAGAGCUGUUGAAUUCGGGGAACUUAGAUCAUCUUGCAAAGGCGACUUCCUCACUUUGGUUGGGUUUGACGAGGAGAGUAAUGCAAUCCUUGUGCUGACAGCUUCUGGUGUCUUCAUGGUCUAUCUCCAGUCAACGGAGUUCAAGAAACUUUCUGAUCCAAUGUCCUUCUGUCACCAUUAUCCAUUUGCAUGUUUCUAUCCUGCAGGUACUGGCAUUAUUGAUGGACAUGAUGGAAAUGAAGUCUUGAACAAUAUGUGA
This 858-nucleotide ribosomal RNA is filed under the name Triticum aestivum (bread wheat). Its description in RNAcentral is "partial small subunit ribosomal RNA". Lineage: Eukaryota; Viridiplantae; Streptophyta; Magnoliopsida; Poales; Poaceae. The record is from RNAcentral.